CAGUAGCCGCGGGAAUACAGAGGGUGCAAGCGUUAAUCGGAUUUACUGGGCGUAAAGCGCGCGUAAGCGGUUACUCAAGUCAGAGGUGAAAGCCCGGGGCUCAACCCCGGAACUGCCUUUGAAACUAGGUGACUAGAAUCUUGGAGAGGUCAGUGGAAUUCCGAGUGUAGAGGUGAAAUUCGUAGAUAUUCGGAAGAACACCAGUGGCGAAGGCGACUGACUGGACAAGUAUUGACACUGAGGUGCGAAAGCGUGGGGAGCAAACAGGAUUAGAUACCCCGGUAGUCCCUGUCUCUUAUAC
RNAcentral lists this ribosomal RNA (301 nucleotides) under uncultured bacterium. RNAcentral describes it as "partial 16S ribosomal RNA". It matches the Rfam family "Bacterial small subunit ribosomal RNA", at positions 509 to 807 of the family's 1533-position model. The record is from RNAcentral.